RNAcentral lists this ribosomal RNA (1228 nucleotides) under metagenome. RNAcentral describes it as "bacterial LSU rRNA". It matches the Rfam family "Bacterial large subunit ribosomal RNA", at positions 1564 to 2800 of the family's 2925-position model. The record is from RNAcentral.
UGAGUACAAGAUGCUACGGCAUUGAAGCAGUCUAUGUCAUACUUCCAAGAAAAGCUUGCAAUGUCAUAAACAAAUAAUGCCUGUACCAUAACCGACACAGGUGGGUAGGUAGAGUAUACUAAGGGGCGCGAGAUAACUCUCUCUAAGGAACUCGGCAAAAUGACUCCGUAACUUCGGGAGAAGGAGUACCUUAUUUUAUAAGGUUGCAAUAACAAGGUCCAAGCAACUGUUUACCAAAAACACAGGUCUCCGCUAAGUCGUAAGACGAUGUAUGGGGGCUGACGCCUGCCCAGUGCCAGAAGGUUAAAGAAGUUGGUUAGCAUUAGCGAAGCUGAUAACUGAAGCCCUGGUGAACGGCGGCCGUAACUAUAACGGUCCUAAGGUAGCGAAAUUCCUUGUCGGGUAAGUUCCGACCCGCACGUAAGGCGUAAUGAUUUGGAUACUGUCUCGGAGAGGGGCUCGGUGAAAUAGACUUGUCUGUGAAGAUGCGGACUACCUGCACCUGGACAGAAAGACCCUAUGAAGCUUUACUGUAACUUGAGAUUGAAAUUGGACUUUAUUUGCGCAGUAUAGGUGGGAGACCUCGAAAGUAUUCUUGCGGGAAUAUUGGAGUCAUCAGUGAGAUACCACUCUUAUAAUGUUAGAUUUCUAACUUUGUAUCAUUAUCUGGUCAAAGAACAGUUUCAGGCGGGCAGUUUGACUGGGGCGGUCGCCUCCCAAAUGGUAACGGAGGCGCACAAAGGUUUCCUCUGAACGUGUAGAAAUCGUAUCUAGAGUGUAAAGGCAUAAGGAAGCUUGACUGUGAGACCUACAAGUCGAGCAGGGACGAAAGUCGGUCUUAGUGAUCUGACGGUGCUGAGUGGAAAGGCCGUCACUCAACGGAUAAAAGUUACUCUAAGGAUAACAGGCUGAUCUCCCCCAAGAGUUCGCAUCGACGGGGAGGUUUGGCACCUCGAUGUCGGCUCAUCGCAUCCUGGGGCGGUAGUACGUCCCAAGGGUUGGGCUGUUCGCCCAUGAAAGCGGUACGCGAGCUGGGUUCAGAACGUCGUGAGACAGUUCGGUCCAUAUCCGGUGUAGGCGUUAGAAUAUUGAGAGGAGCCUUCUUUAGUACGAGAGGACCGAGAAGGACAUACCUCUGGUGUACCAGUUAUCGUGCCAACGGUAAACGCUGGGUAGCUAUGUAUGGAGAGGAUAACCGCUGAAAGCAUCUAAGUGGGAAGCCCACCUC